CUGCUCACUGCGCAACAAAACAGCAAGCCGGCAGCGCGCAGAGCCGUCGAGGCUGCUGCACAUUUUGUCGAGCACACAGCGAGCGUCAACGGCGCACUGCGCAGCAGCAGAGAGGAGGCAUCGGCAGAGGGCUCGCGGCCAUGGGCAACUGCGAGCUCGCUGCAAUCCAUGGACAGGGAGCCAACCGCGCUACGUGGAAGAGGAACAGGGAGGGCGUGGCUGGAGGAAAGGGGCGAGCUGCUUGUGGCCAUGGGGGAGAAGAAAGGGCGCCGUCGAGGGAGCUUCAACAGUGGAGCGCUCGGCUGCUGGGCUGCUCACCGUGGACAGCAGAGAAAGGCAGGCGCAGUGGAGAAAGGGUGCUCAAAACUGCUGGCCGGAGCUAGGGCUCGGCCAUGGGAAAGAAGGGGGAAGGAGGAAGGGGAGCCGGCUGGUGGAGAUGGGAGAGCUCGGCUCCAUGCAGAUAUGGAGCUUGCCAUUUGGAGCAGUGGCAGGGGGCGUCCUUGGCUGCUGGGCGAGCUCGGCAUGGAGAAGCUGCUUGCUGCCGUGAUGCGGGAGGAAGAAGGGGCGCCCUGCUCUUGCACGUUGGGAAGAAGGGGAGGACGCCAUGGGAGGAGAGGGAGCUCCCUGCUGCAGCCGCUCGCAGGAGGAGCCGAGAGGGCGCCGGGCCAUGGCUGGCCGAGGGGAGGAGCUCCUGCCGUCAACCAUGCACACGCAGAGAAAGCAGCGGCCAAGGGGAGAGCAGGGGGGCGCUAG
RNAcentral lists this unclassified non-coding RNA (753 nucleotides) under Zea mays. RNAcentral's name for it is "misc RNA Zm00001eb182060". The record is from RNAcentral. Lineage: Eukaryota; Viridiplantae; Streptophyta; Magnoliopsida; Poales; Poaceae.